GUUAUAAUUAGUUCAUAGUGAAAUGUAAAUGUGGAGGUAAGUUUUAUGGAAUGUGCAACAACAGUAGUUAUAAUUAGUUCAUAGUGAAAUGUAAAUAGUAUUAGUAUUGUUUUCAAACAGGUGGCAAGUACAUGUUAUAAUUAGUUCAUAGUGAAAUGUAAAUGGUCGUAAGAGAAACAUACCCGACACAGUUAAAUUAUGUUAUAAUUAGUUCAUAGUGAAAUGUAAAUAAUAUUUCGUAUUCUUCUACAUCUAAUUCAUUUAAGCGUUAUAAUUAGUUCAUAGUGAAAUGUAAAUGUAGAUGCUCUGCUUAUCAUAACAUCAGAAACUCUUUGUUAUAAUUAGUUC
This 348-nucleotide small RNA is filed under the name human gut metagenome. RNAcentral's name for it is "Listeria sRNA rliB". The record is from RNAcentral.